AGGGGAGCUUCCUGACCCAGGGAUCGAACCGGAGUCUCCUGCAUCUCCUGCAUUGGCAGGUCCUUAUCUGAGCAAUGAGUUCUCCAAGAUUUCUGUCAUCCUCCUGGUCAACAUUUCAGGGCAGCAAGCCCUGGGCCAUCCACCAGACUUGGACACCUGGGAAGUAGGACCACCAUGGUAGCAGAGCAGACAUAUUACCGAUGGCCCAGAGGACCCAAACCAGUGCUCCUGAUCUACGCUGGUGACCGACAACACCUGUACUUCCAACCCUGCCAGACGCUGCACUGAGAAUCAAGAGCUUGCUUCUGGAGAUGCUGAUUCAAGCGCACAGGAGUCUGGGGGCCUGGGUUUAAUCUCUGGUUGAGGAGCUAAGAUCCCACAGGUGGCGUGGUGCAGCCAAAAAAAAAAAGAGGUGAAACUUGGAGAAAAGGGGACUGCAGUGGGGUCCUGGCGCCAGCAUUCCACGUUCCUGAGUACAUUUCUUAACCUCUGAGUGUCUGAGUUUUCAUCUACAAAUAAAGAUAAUAAUAAACACUUGUGGAAUUGGUGACUGAAAGGGGACAUGCUUGCCUGCACUAAUUCCUAACCUCUCUGAUCCCACUUGGACUCUGGGCUGCCCCAGGCCUCCUGGGCUUAGGCUGUGCUGCAGCCAUCUGCUCUCUGCCUGAGAAGGGGGUAACAAUGAGGCCCCAAAGGGAGGGACUUUCCUGGCUGGGCAGCCCUCAGCCAGCGCCACUGGACUGAUCAUCCCUUCACUCUGACCGUACACAACUGCUGAGGCCUAAUACAAUAUUUUUUGUUUACAGAGCCAGGUUUACGCUUUCUGACGAGCAAAGAUUAGGUGAUUCUCUGUCACUCCGGGUAGUACACCAGAGCGAGUCCCGUUAACCCACUGUACUCAGCAGCAAACCGUGGUUCCAGGGGGAAGUGUCACCAAGAAGCCACUGGCAGGUCUGGGGCUUAUUGAUUUCCACCCUCUCCAGCUGCUUUUGUUUGCGUAGAGGGGUUGUGCUUCUGCUGGGAGACUGUGUUGCUCUGGGAGCCAUCAAGCCGAUGACUGUAAGAAAAACGGUCUCUAAACCAUUUCCAGUCUGAUUCCAGUGAUGCUAUGGUGGGUCUGUUGCAUAAAGUGCUCCUUAGGCUUCCAGUGCAGCAGAAAGAAGGUGGCAUCCCAGACAGAGCCCAAGGGCUACAAGGGCUGCGGGGCGCUGAGCCGGCAAGCAUCUCCCCACCUGACUCUGUGGGAUUGC
Bubalus bubalis (water buffalo) is the source of this 1250-nucleotide long non-coding RNA. RefSeq lists it as uncharacterized. The transcript has 4 exons. Lineage: Eukaryota; Metazoa; Chordata; Mammalia; Artiodactyla; Bovidae. The record is from RefSeq and is a predicted model, not a curated record.